AGGAAUUGACGGAAGCCUGAUCCGCCGUGCCGCGUGUGUGAAGAAGGUCUUCGGAUUGUAAAGCACUUUAAGUCGGGAGGAAGGGCUGUAGGCGAAUACCCUGCAGUCUUGACGUUACCGACAGAAUAAGCACCGGCUAACUUCGUGCCAGCAGCCGCGGUAAUACGAAGGGUGCAAGCGUUAAUCGGAAUUACUGGGCGUAAAGCGCGCGUAGGUGGUUUGGUAAGUUGGAUGUGAAAGCCCCGGGCUCAACCUGGGAACUGCAUCCAAAACUGCCUGGCUAGAGUACGGUAGAGGGUGGUGGAAUUUCCUGUGUAGCGGUGAAAUGCGUAGAUAUAGGAAGGAACACCAGUGGCGAAGGCGACCACCUGGACUGAUACUGACACUGAGGUGCGAAAGCGUGGGGAGCAAACAGGAAUUAGAAUACCCCUGGGUAG
RNAcentral lists this ribosomal RNA (437 nucleotides) under uncultured soil bacterium. RNAcentral describes it as "SSU rRNA". It matches the Rfam family "Bacterial small subunit ribosomal RNA", at positions 365 to 793 of the family's 1533-position model. The record is from RNAcentral.